This 225-nucleotide ribosomal RNA is filed under the name Triticum aestivum (bread wheat). Its description in RNAcentral is "partial small subunit ribosomal RNA". The record is from RNAcentral. Lineage: Eukaryota; Viridiplantae; Streptophyta; Magnoliopsida; Poales; Poaceae.
AUGGAUUGCAACCGCAAAAUCAUCUUUUGGAAUGUCCGCGGUCUCAACUUCAGGGCCAAACGUACGGCCGUCCGCAGCGUGAUCUCCACUGCUGCCCCCACUAUCGUGUGCUUACAGGAGACAAAACUUGCGCAUGUCACGGACUCGACCGUCCUUGAUACCCUCGGCUCUCCAUUUGAGGACUUCUUCUUCCUUCCCGCCGCUGGCACUCGCGGUGGCGUGCUU